Molecule: long non-coding RNA, 976 nt
Filed under: Apteryx owenii (little spotted kiwi)
Lineage: Eukaryota; Metazoa; Chordata; Aves; Apterygiformes; Apterygidae
Description: lncRNA (ENSAOWG00000018443.1)
Source: RNAcentral
CUGACUGCUUGUAUCUCUAUGUCUCUGGGAAUUUUUCACGGCAUAGGUCCAUAGUGCUCAGUUCAUGGAGUUUGCAGAGGUGGAAAACCAUGAUGACUUUUAUACCAGUGAAGGUGGAUAUAUUCACACACAGGACCCAUGAGGGUUUUAUAUAAUAUAUGAUGUGGCUUUAAAGGACCUGAAGGAGCUUGAGCACCAGCUGCUCCUUGUGACCAGCCAAUAUAUUGAGAAAGAUAAAAGCCAUAUAACUUGUGGUCAGUUCAAAGGCAGCAACCUCCUUGGCUGGGCACAUUCCUCUGUGGAUCAAUUUGCAGUGCUGCUUGACCUCUGGACCUGUGAAACUGCUCUCUUGGAGAAAAAAUCUCAGUUAUUUGCAGAGGUACUGAUAGAAGACCCUGUGCUGGUGCAAGAGGUUGCUUUGUCACUAUGAGAGCUGGGAGCAGAGGAAGAAAAAAAGGAAAGCAGACAAAACCGGUUCUUUUUCCUGGAUUCUUUUUCCAUGAUCCUGGAGCUUGUAACACUUUGCCAUCGGUUGAUGGAGGUGGCAAUGGAGAGUGUGCAGUUAGCCAGGUUAUAUAAGGCUUUUGCAAGGGAAAUGGGUUUUGGUGAGUUCCAUUUGUAUCUGAGGCCAGUGCACUUCAAAUUUGCAUCUUACAAGGAGAAAGCAGACCACAUCCCACCAAUAUUCAUUACAUCUCUCCUGGAAGAUGACAGCUGUGUUGACAGGUAGAAAGAACUAUUUUGUAUUUCACAGGACAUAAUCUCUUUAGAUUGGACAUGACCAGGUCUUCAGUCUGCCUGAGUUCAAAUAUAGGCCACAAAAACUUCAAUGCAUAAAACCUUUGAUUUUUGUUUUUCAACUCGGUGACUACAAAUAGACCCUAUCUCUGUGCAAGGAAAAGGCUAUUUAUUAUCUUCUCUUUUUUCCUGGGGAAGAUGUCUGAAAUGUGUAGAUUUUACAUUUGCUUUGGUUUAC